AUACGUAGGGUGCAAGCGUUAAUCGGAAUUACUGGGCGUAAAGCGUGCGCAGGCGGUUUUGUAAGACCGAGGUGAAAUCCCCGGGCUCAACCUGGGAACUGCCUUUGUGACUGCAAGGCUAGAGGAAGGCCGAGGGGGGUGGAAUUCCGCGUGUAGGAGUGAAAUGCGUAGAUAUGCGGAGGAACACCGAUGGCGAAGGCAAUCGCCUGGGCCUGUACUGACGCUCAUGCACGAAAGCGUGGGGAGCAAACAGGAUUAGAUACCCUGGUAGUCCACGCCCUAAACGAUGUCAACUGGUUGUUGGGUCUUCAUUGACUCAGUAACGAAGCUAACGCGUGAAGUUGACCGCCUGGGGAGUACGGCCGCAAGGUUGAAACUCAAAUGAAUUGGCGGGG
This 395-nucleotide ribosomal RNA is filed under the name uncultured bacterium. Its description in RNAcentral is "partial 16S ribosomal RNA". It matches the Rfam family "Bacterial small subunit ribosomal RNA", at positions 523 to 918 of the family's 1533-position model. The record is from RNAcentral.